CCAUUGGCAGUUCAGUGGUAGAAUUCUCACCUUCUAUGUGGGAGGCCUGGGUGCAAUUCCUGGCCAUUGCA
This 71-nucleotide transfer RNA is filed under the name Loxodonta africana (African savanna elephant). It matches the Rfam family "tRNA". From Rfam's summary of the family: Transfer RNA (tRNA) molecules are approximately 80 nucleotides in length. Lineage: Eukaryota; Metazoa; Chordata; Mammalia; Proboscidea; Elephantidae. The record is from Rfam by way of RNAcentral.